CGAGUGGCGAACGGGUGAGUAAUACAUCGGAACGUGUCCGCUCGUGGGGGACAACCAGCCGAAAGGUUGGCUAAUACCGCAUGAGUUCUACGGAAGAAAGAGGGGGACCCGCAAGGGCCUCUCGCGAGCGGAGCGGCCGAUGACUGAUUAGCCGGUUGGUGAGGUAACGGCUCACCAAAGCAACGAUCAGUAGCUGGUCUGAGAGGACGACCAGCCACACUGGGACUGAGACACGGCCCAGACUCCUACGGGAGGCAGCAG
Molecule: ribosomal RNA, 261 nt
Filed under: uncultured bacterium
Lineage: Bacteria
Description: partial 16S ribosomal RNA
Rfam family: Bacterial small subunit ribosomal RNA
Source: RNAcentral